CCUACGGGAGGCAGCAGUGAGGAAUAUUGGUCAAUGGACGAGAGUCUGAACCAGCCAAGUAGCGUGAAGGAUGACUGCACAAUGGGUUGUAAACUUCUUUUAUAAAGGAAUAAAACGAGGCACGUGUGCCUUUUUGCAUGUACUUUAUGAAUAAGGAUCGGCUAACUCCGUGCCAGCAGCCGCGGUAAUACGGAGGAUCCGAGCGUUAUCCGGAUUUAUUGGGUUUAAAGGGAGCGUAGAUGGGUUGUUAAGUCAGUUGUGAAAGUUUGCGGCUCAACCGUAAAAUUGCAAUUGAUACUGGCAGUCGUGAGUACAGUUGAGGUAAGCGGAAUUCGUGGUGUAGCGGUGAAAUGCUUAGAUAUCACGAAGAACCCCGAUUGCGAAGGCAGCUUACUAAACUGUGACUGACAUUGAUGCUCGAAAGUGUGGGUAUCAAACAGGAUUAGAUACCCCUGUAGUC
RNAcentral lists this ribosomal RNA (460 nucleotides) under uncultured bacterium. RNAcentral's name for it is "partial 16S ribosomal RNA". It matches the Rfam family "Bacterial small subunit ribosomal RNA", at positions 338 to 795 of the family's 1533-position model. The record is from RNAcentral.